RNAcentral lists this ribosomal RNA (253 nucleotides) under uncultured bacterium. RNAcentral describes it as "partial 16S ribosomal RNA". It matches the Rfam family "Bacterial small subunit ribosomal RNA", at positions 524 to 776 of the family's 1533-position model. The record is from RNAcentral.
UACAUGGGGUGCAAACGUUGCUCGGAAUUAUUGGGCGUAAAGCGCACGUAGGCGGUUCGUUAAGUCGGAUGUGAAAGCCCUCGGCUCAACUGAGGAAGUGCACCCGAAACUGGCGAGCUUGAGUACGAAAGAGGAUCGCGGAAUUCCCGGUGUAGAGGUGAAAUUCGUAGAUAUCGGGAGGAACACCUAUGGCGAAGGCAGCUCGCUGGGACGUUACUGACGCUGAGACGCGAAAGCGUGGGGAGCAAACAGG